AUCGCUUCUCGGCCUUUCGGCUAAGAUCAAGUGUAAAAUGCAUUUCAUACUAUCUUAUUUUUAUUUUUCAAGUCUGUUUAUUUAUUUUGAGGUGGGGAGAAGGAGCAGAGAGAGAGGGACAGAAGGAACCCCAAGCAAGCUCUGUGCUGUCAGUGGAGAGCCCAACGCAGGGCUCCAACU
The sequence is a small nuclear RNA, 180 nucleotides long. Its record names the gene U2. It matches the Rfam family "U2 spliceosomal RNA". Rfam says of the family: U2 is a small nuclear RNA (snRNA) component of the spliceosome (involved in pre-mRNA splicing). Complementary binding between U2 snRNA (in an area lying towards the 5' end but 3' to hairpin I) and the branchpoint sequence (BPS) of the intron results the bulging out of an unpaired adenosine, on the BPS, which initiates a nucleophilic attack at the intronic 5' splice site, thus starting the first of two transesterification reactions that mediate splicing. The record is from Ensembl.